AGAGUUUGAUCAUGGCUCAGGACGAACGCUGGCGGCGUGCCUAACACAUGCAAGUCAAGGGGAAAGUCCGGCUUCGGUUGGAUGAGUAUACUGGCGGACGGGUGAGUAACGCGUAGGCAACCUGCCCUAUGGCUAGGGAUAACCCAGCGAAAGUUGGACUAAUACCUAAUAAUGCAGCGGAUCCGCAUGGAUAUGUUGUUAAAGAUUGCUCGUGAGAGCACCCGCCAUAGGAUGGGCCUGCGUUCCAUUAGUUAGUUGGUGAGGUAACGGCUUACCAAGGCGACGAUGGAUAGCUGGUUUGAGAGAGUGAUCAGCCACACUGGGACUGAGAUACGGCCCAGACUCCUACGGGAGGCAGCAGUGAGGAAUAUUGCGCAAUGGGCGAAAGCCUGACGCAGCAACGCCGCGUGGGGGAUGAAGUUCUAUGGAGCGUAAACCCCUGUAAGCGGGGACGAAAGUUGUAUGUUCGAAGAGGGCAUACAUUUGACGGUACCCGCAGAGUAAGCUCCGGCUAACUCCGUGCCAGCAGCCGCGGUAAUACGGGGGGAGCGAGCGUUGUCCGGAAUUACUGGGCGAAAGGGCGUGUAGGCGGUUUGGUAAGUCAGAUGUAAAAGCCCCCGGCUUAACCCGGGGAUGCAUUUGAAACUGCCGGGCUUGAGUUCGAGAGAGGGUAGCGGAAUUCCCAGUGUAGCGGUGAAAUGCGUAGAUAUUGGGAAGAACACCAGUAGCGAAGGCGGCUACCUGGCUCGUAACUGACGCUAAUGCGCGAAAGCGUGNNNNGCAAACAGGAUUAGAUACCCUAGUAGUCC
This 809-nucleotide ribosomal RNA is filed under the name uncultured bacterium. RNAcentral's name for it is "bacterial SSU rRNA". It matches the Rfam family "Bacterial small subunit ribosomal RNA", at positions 8 to 796 of the family's 1533-position model. The record is from RNAcentral.